Long non-coding RNA from Empidonax traillii (willow flycatcher), 443 nucleotides. RefSeq lists it as uncharacterized. The record is from RefSeq and is a predicted model, not a curated record. The transcript is spliced from 4 exons. Lineage: Eukaryota; Metazoa; Chordata; Aves; Passeriformes; Tyrannidae.
UGAAAUUCCGUCACUAAUGAACAGCGUGUUCCAUUAAACGAAGGCCUCAGAGGGCUGUGAGGUUGGCAAACCCCACUUUUCCUUUGGCCGUUCGUGCGUGUUUGGAGGUACCUGCUGGGGCAUGAGGUGAAGGUGAGCUCAACCUGGCGCAGCUCCCCGGGGAGGCUCCUCGUGUGUCCCACGGCCACCCCACCGCUCCCCUCCAGACCCUUCUGCUGAGGAGAAGCCAACUGGAGGAACUGUGAAGGCCCAAAGUCUGUUGUCAAUGGGACUGCACAGAGGGAGAACUCAGACCUUCUGCUUUCCAGGGAUCCCCCUGCAGAUCGUGCCGUCGGACUCUCCUUCCGGAGCUGCUGCGCUCACCUAGAAGCUGUUAGACCUUUGGAAAACAAGAGACCUCGCCAAGGAGCUGUGUGGGACAACCAAUGCUUCCCUACCGUCCU